RNAcentral lists this ribosomal RNA (495 nucleotides) under uncultured bacterium. Its description in RNAcentral is "bacterial SSU rRNA". It matches the Rfam family "Bacterial small subunit ribosomal RNA", at positions 29 to 507 of the family's 1533-position model. The record is from RNAcentral.
ACGAACGCUGGCGGCGCGCCUAACACAUGCAAGUCGAACGAGAGAUGAGGAGCUUGCUCUUCAAAUCGAGCGGCGGAUGGGUGAGUAACACGUGGGGAACCUGCCCCUAAGUCUGGGAUACCAUUUGGAAACAGGUGCUAAUACCGGAUAAUAAAGCAGAUCGCAUGAUCAGCUUUUGAAAGGCGGCGUAAGCUGCCGCUAAGGGAUGGCCCCGCGGUGCAUUAGCUAGUUGGUAAGGUAACGGCUUACCAAGGCGACGAUGCAUAGCCGAGUUGAGAGACUGAUCGGCCACAUUGGGACUGAGACACGGCCCAAACUCCUACGGGAGGCAGCAGUAGGGAAUCUUCCACAAUGGACGCAAGUCUGAUGGAGCAACGCCGCGUGAGUGAAGAAGGUUUUCGGAUCGUAAAGCUCUGUUGUUGGUGAAGAAGGAUAGAGGUAGUAACUGGCCUUUAUUUGACGGUAAUCAACCAGAAAGUCACGGCUAACUACGUG